GGAUCGCAGUCUGCAACUCGACUGCGUGAAGCUGGAUUCGCUAGUAAUCGCGCAUCAGCCACGGCGCGGUGAAUACGUUCCCGGGCCUUGUACACACCGCCCGUCAAGCCAUGGGAGUCGGGAGUGCCUGAAGUGCGUGAGCGCGAGCAGCGCCUAGGGCAAAACCGNUGACUGGGGCUAAGUCGUAACAAGGUAGC
Molecule: ribosomal RNA, 197 nt
Filed under: uncultured bacterium
Lineage: Bacteria
Description: partial 16S ribosomal RNA
Rfam family: Bacterial small subunit ribosomal RNA
Source: RNAcentral